AACAGGUCUUAUAGAGGCCUUCUGUCACUUGAAAAUACAAGGUUUCUUUAGAACGGUUAAACAGGUCUUAUAAAGGUCUUCUUUAACUGAUUUUUACAAGGCUUCUUCUUAACACUUCAAGAUAGCCUUAAAGAGACCUCCUUUCUUUCCAAAAUGUAUGACUUGCGUAAGUAAGCCUUGAACUAAACGUAUACAAACUAUGGCUUGUCGAAUCGAACAAAAUGGACCUUAUUCAAGUAAAAUUGUUACUUGGGCACCGCCAUUUGGUUUUGACUGAGGCUACUGUCACGGUGGGUAUCAACCUCCAUGGGACAUAUUAUCAUGGAAUAUGCAAUAAUGCAACAACAUCGUGCCAUUCCGCAACAGGAAAACCUUUUGAAGCAAAACCAAGAAGAGUUUUGCGAAAAAGAAAUUAAUUGUGGAUCACAUGAUACUAUACACUAUACACUAUAUACAUCAAGUGGAAACGAAUUUCUUUGAAAAUUUAUCCCCAAGAAUUGUCGAACUAUUUGAUGUACUCUGUAAUAUGUUAAUAUCAGCAACUUAUAUAUUUGGCUACUACUGUCUUUCGCAAUGUCGCAAGGAGAGGCAAUUAAUUCUACUGUUAAAAUAAAUAUUGUCGAGCGAAGCUUACUGAUCUCGCACAAAGCUAAGCUUGAACUUAGAGGAUCAAAUUGUUUCUAUAGAAAAGCUGAAGCAGGUUUAUAAUUGAAUAAGAUUAUAUCCGAACUACUUAACAAACUAAGUGGAGAUUAAUCUAUCAUAAGCAGUGCGGAGCAACUCUAAAGGCAACUAAAUGAACAGACUUAUGCUAACUGAACAAAAUACAAAAUUCAUUGGAGAAAUUGCAUCACUUCAACAAGACAACGAUGAGCAUGGUAUAAAAAGAGAAGGUAUGAUCAUUAGAAAAAACUCAGUAUCGAGAACUGUCAAAACUUAUGGCUACUUAAGGUUUUGACAGCCCAGCCCAUUGAAAUUGUUGUUGUAAACAAAUUUGUCUUGGAAAUUGUUGUUGCUUUUGACUUUGCCAAAUGCCAAACGUCAAAACCUUAUUACCCCAUUUUGUAAGAUGGCGGCUCUAAUGAUCAUACCUUGUCUUUUUAUACCAUGAACGAAGAGCUAGAAGCCAAUAAAAAUUUGUUCUCAAAUCGAAAUUAGAUGAAAUGAGGGCUGAGUUCGGUUUGGACAUAGCCAAAUCCCUGGAAGGUAAAAAUGCUGAAAUAAAACGUCUGCAGACUGAUAUUAUGGGCCUUCGAACUAAGUGUGAUGAAGAGCAUAGAAAAUGCAAACCAGUUUGGCUAAGUUUGAGGUAUCGUAAAUAUUAGAUGUUGCUUAUGUACAAAAACAGAACUUUUGGAUAUUCAACAUCAAAAAACAAACUUAGAUCGAAGGAAACGAUGUGGCUGCACCAACAAGGAGAAACAACCAGUACUGUUGAUAGGCUUACAAAUAUGCAGGAAAAAGUCCAGACAUUGAAGUAAAAAAAUAUCACAAAACGAGUAGGCAAAAAUUGAAGAGCAACUUGCCGCCCAUACUUGCCGGAUUACUUGCUUAGGAUGUUAUAAUAAGGCCUUAUAGA
Long non-coding RNA from Episyrphus balteatus (marmalade hoverfly), 1579 nucleotides. RefSeq lists it as uncharacterized. Lineage: Eukaryota; Metazoa; Arthropoda; Insecta; Diptera; Syrphidae. The transcript has 4 exons. The record is from RefSeq and is a predicted model, not a curated record.